GACGAACGCUGGCGGCGUGCCUAAUACAUGCAAGUAGAACGCUGAAGGAGGAGCUUGCUCUUCUGGAUGAGUUGCGAACGGGUGAGUAACGCGUAGGUAACCUGCCUGGUAGCGGGGGAUAACUAUUGGAAACGAUAGCUAAUACCGCAUAAGAGUAGAUGUUGCAUGACAUUUACUUAAAAGGUGCAAUUGCAUCACUACCAGAUGGACCUGCGUUGUAUUAGCUAGUUGGUGGGGUAACGGCUUACCAAGGCGACGAUACAUAGCCGACCUGAGAGGGUGAUCGGCCACACUGGGACUGAGACACGGCCCAGACUCCUACGGGAGGCAGCAGUAGGGAAUCUUCGGCAAUGGACGGAAGUCUGACCGAGCAACGCCGCGUGAGGGAAGAAGGUUUUCGGAUCGUAAAGCUCUGUUGUAAGAGAAGAACGAGUGUGAGAGUGGAAAGUUCACACUGUGACGGUAUCUUACCAGAAAGGGACGGCUAACUACGUG
Molecule: ribosomal RNA, 495 nt
Filed under: uncultured bacterium
Lineage: Bacteria
Description: partial 16S ribosomal RNA
Rfam family: Bacterial small subunit ribosomal RNA
Source: RNAcentral